CCGAGUUAAAAAUUGAAAUAUUUCACGCGUCCGGAAAACACUGGGGUCCGGAAGCCGGUCCUGCCAACAGUGUCGGAAUUCGAAUCCGGAAAUGCCUACGCAAAGCUCAAGUUGCGAGGAGUCCAGAAGUACAAGAGUUUUGGCCGGAAAGUGGCCGGAAGGCGGCGGAUCGGGGCCGGAAAGUCGCUGCUCACGCGACACUUUCCAAGGCUGCCGGCAAGGAUUUUCCAACGGAAGAGGGUUGCUUCAGGGGUUUUUGGGGAUGGGGAGUCCGAUUCCGGCGUCGGUUUGCGGAAAGGACGCCGGCAGGAGGCCGAAUCGACGAU
Molecule: long non-coding RNA, 326 nt
Filed under: Ricinus communis (castor bean)
Lineage: Eukaryota; Viridiplantae; Streptophyta; Magnoliopsida; Malpighiales; Euphorbiaceae
Description: long non-coding RNA (RCOM_LNC000444)
Source: RNAcentral